Molecule: ribosomal RNA, 406 nt
Filed under: uncultured bacterium
Lineage: Bacteria
Description: partial 16S ribosomal RNA
Rfam family: Bacterial small subunit ribosomal RNA
Source: RNAcentral
AUUGAACGCUGGCGGCAGGCCUAACACAUGCAAGUCGAACGAGUGGCGGACGGGUGAGUAAUGUCAGGGAAACUGCCUGAUGGAGGGGGAUAACUAAUGGAAACGGUAGCUAAUACCGCAUACCAUCAGAUGUGCCCAGAUGGUAGUAGAUAGAGGGUGGGGUAACGGAGCACCAAGGCGACGAUCCCUAGCUGGUCUGAGAGGAUGACCAGCCAACUUGUAACUGUGAACCGGUCCAGACUCCUACGUGAGGCAGCAGUGGGGAAUAGUGCACAAUGGGCGCAAGCCUGAUACAGCCAUGCCGCGUGUAUUAAGAAGGCCUUCGGGUUUUAAAGUACUUUCAGCGGGGAGGCGUUACCCGCAGAAGAAGCACCGGCUAACUCCGUGCCAGCAGCCGCGGUAAUUC